UCUUUUGUAUUAAAGAAUUAAAUGGAUGAAAUAUGAAGUUUUAUUAAAAGAAAAAUGGGUGAAAAGAACAAAGUUUUGUCCAUCUUUGUUCAUCAUAGCUGAAAGUUAGAGAAGAGAAAGGAGAGGAGAAAGCUCUUGAGUAUUUGGUCAUUAGGAGGAGGAAAAUUGAAGGUAAGUUCUUGGUACCUUGCUUCUAUUUUGAGGUUCAUGAGUUCUUCUUGAUUCUACCUUAACUCUUGAAGUAUAUUUUGAUUUUUAGUUGUGUUGUGAGCAUUUAGUCAUGAAUUAAAAUGAAGGAAACGGUUGUUGUUUCAUGUUCUUUUGAUGAAAAAUGGAAGAUAGGUGAAGUUGAGCCAAACAAAUGAGCAUGCAUGUGCCUUAGAUGUUAAAGGGAAAAAUCAGCUAACAUGUUGUGCUUUAAAAUGAUGAAAUGGAGAUUAUACUUAAGUAAAAUCAUAGAUAUGUGAUGAUUGAUUGGUGAUAUACAUGUUUAAAUAACAUGCAUGCAAGGUAUGUGUGAAAGAGUGAUUUGGUAAUAAAUCUGCUUGGGACAGCAGCAGUAACGUGACUUUGGAAAAUCACCAUAAAUUGUGGAAGAUGAAUUAGAAGCUGAAUAAAUUAUGUAAUUAAAGCUUAUUGAGUCUAGUUUCUAAUGAAAUAAACAAGAACAUAUUUUGAAUUCUGUACAAUGAGAAAUUUGAUUCGUAAUGAAGAGUGGUCAGAUUAGUCAAACAGUGAAACAUGGGAAACUUUGAGAAAAAUCUGGUAUUGAUUGGCUAAACAAAAAAUUCUGAAAAUUUUAUGGAUAGAAGAUAUAUGAGUCUAUUUUCAGGGAAAAUUAACGGAACUUGAUUUGGAGUUUCGUAGCUCCAGUUAUAAAUGAUUUAGUGAUUGUUGCUCAGGAAGACAGCUUGCAGUGAAAUUAUGAUUAUGUAGUAAACAUUGACAAAAAUUUGUUAAUGAGUUGCUUAUUGAUUUCUUAUAAGCUUACUAUGAUCUGUAGGUGUGGUUGGCCGAAUAUUGUAAGGGGUUAAUACGUAGUUUGUAUUUGAAUAGUUAGAUUAACGUGUUAGUAAUCCAAUUGUAGGCGGUUCGUGUGUGGAUCUCGUCAGCAUAUCGUCGCAAACAGGUGUGUAACUGACACCCUCUCAUAGACUAGAUUGGCAAAAGCCGAAAUGCCAAAAAGUCGGUAUUUUGGGAAUUUGCGAGUGUGCGAAUGCUCGUAAGAUAGUUGGGUUGUAUAUUUGGUAAUCUAAAGUAAUAAACUGCAGUACGCGCGAUUUCGUACAUUUUGAUAAUUUGGGCUUAAUGGGCCAAAGAUCGGGUUCAUGGGCCAACGGGCCCAAUUCGGUAAGUAUGCGCGGUAAGUGUUCUGAUAGUACGUAAAUAGUUAGGAUAUGCAUGAAAACCCUAAAAGUAGCUAAAUUACUAUAAUACCCCUAUGUAUGGAAAAUUACUGUUAUACCCCUAGGUGCAAAAUUACCGUUAUACCCCUAGGGUUAAUUUUGACUGAAAAGCAUGACGAUCUGAUUCUGUAUGAUGUAUGCCAUGAUUAUAUAUCUGUUGCAUGGGGACAUGGGUUAUAUUAUGGAGGAAGCGUUCUGGUGGCUAUGCCACAAAUAUCUGAUCUGGUGGCUCUGCCACAAAUAUCUGAUCUGGUGGCUCUGCCACAUAUAUCUGUUCUGGUGGCUCUGCCACGAUUAUCUGUAUCUGGUGACUCUGUCACAUUAUCUGUUCUGGCAGCCAUGCUGCAAAUUCUGUGGUGUGUAGCGGUUGUGUGGGUCGAGUUGUCUCCCCACACGGUGUAAGGUUGGUACGGGGGUGUAUACGGUUGGAUAUGGUUGGGUUUCUGCAUAAACAUGUAAUAUCUGUUCUGUUCUGUUAUGGGCCUAUGGGCUUUAUUCUGAAUUCUGUUAUGGGCUAAGGCCAACUUAUUCUGUUUCUGUGGUUUGAGCUGAUAUAGGCUAUGGUUGGGUUAUUUUACACACUGAGUUUCCCCAAACUCACCCCUUUUAUUUUCAUCCACGCAGGUAAUCCCCAACCAUAGUGGGCUUGGAGCUGUGAGGGAAUUCGAAGUGGCCACCCGUUCUGAAAGUUUGAUUUUCUUCUGGUGAACUGGACAUCCUUUUAUUUACGUUUGAAGUUUUGGGUUUUUAAAUGUAAUAAGGCCGCUUAAUUAUUUUUGAUGGUUUUAAUAUGUAUUACUAAGAUAGGUAUUACUUAUUUUAACUGUUGAAAUUGGAUAGCUUUAAGGCGCGUUUUCAAAAACAGUAAUGGAUUUCAAAAUAACACGAAAACAAGCAAAGCUUCCGUAAUGAAGAUAUUUUCCAAAAUUAAUCACUUUUCCUAAAAAGGACUUAAUCAAAUUGGUUUCCUAGAAAUAUACAUGACGUUAAGGUAUGGCAAUGGC
RNAcentral lists this long non-coding RNA (2410 nucleotides) under Gossypium barbadense (sea-island cotton). RNAcentral describes it as "long non-coding RNA (GBAR_LNC009286)". The record is from RNAcentral. Lineage: Eukaryota; Viridiplantae; Streptophyta; Magnoliopsida; Malvales; Malvaceae.